Molecule: microRNA, 23 nt
Filed under: Homo sapiens (human)
Lineage: Eukaryota; Metazoa; Chordata; Mammalia; Primates; Hominidae
Description: hsa-miR-4254
Source: miRBase by way of RNAcentral
GCCUGGAGCUACUCCACCAUCUC